This 287-nucleotide ribosomal RNA is filed under the name uncultured bacterium. RNAcentral's name for it is "partial 16S ribosomal RNA". It matches the Rfam family "Bacterial small subunit ribosomal RNA", at positions 29 to 342 of the family's 1533-position model. The record is from RNAcentral.
AACGAACGCUGGCGGCAGGCCUAACACAUGCAAGUCGAACGCUCGUAGCAAUACGAGAGUGGCAGACGGGUGAGUAACACGUGGGAACCUUCCCUAUGGUUCGGAAUAGCUCAGGGAAACUUGGGGUAAUACCGGAUAAGCCCUUGGGGGAAAGAUUUAUCGCCAUUGGAUGGGCCCGCGUCGGAUUAGCUAGUUGGUGAGGUAACGGCUCACCAAGGCAACGAUCCGUAGCUGGUCUGAGAGGAUGAUCAGCCACACUGGGACUGAGACACGGCCCAGACUCCUAC